UCAUGAAAUUAUUGAUAAAAAUAUGCAAUUUUACCAUGAAAUAACUCCUAGUUGUAAUGCGGAGGCUUUGCUUUCAAAUAUUCCAUUCUUUCGACUCCAUACCUGGAAGUCGGCUUUUACUAUUUAGCCAGAGUUUUCUUUCAGGUGUGAACUCGUCAGUGGUCGCCGCCCCCAAAGACGGGCGUCUCAAACAUCUCGAAGCGGUACAAGGUGACGUCAGGGCGUGACGCGCGCUGCUUGAACCAGUUGUAGACGGCCAUCACUGGGAUGGCGAUGACGGGCAGCACGCACAGAAAGACGAUGAAGACGAACACGGCGUCUGGAUAGGACUUCACCUCCGCAGGGUUCCAGGUGUCGUAUUUGGGCCUCUCCGUGGCCUGCAGCGCCACGUACGCCAACAACACCACCAGGAGCAUCAAGGGACUGAUGAACCUCCAACAGAUCUGCCAGUACAGACCACCGACCUUGCCCAUGGACUUGAUGCCCUUGAAGAAGCAGAGAUAGAUGAUGAACCAGGUGCAGGCCAGGCAGAGCACCAACCACCACUGCAGAGACCCGCUGGUCUCGAUGUUGGGCGUGAUGUUGAGCGUCCGACGGUACCAGAAGUAAUUGACCGGCGUGCUCUUCACACAUUCCGCAUCCAAGCCUGCGUGGCAGGUAUGACGGGAGUUACUUGGCACACUUUUCAAUUUCAAUUCAUCUCAUUUGCUCAUCAGUUCAUGUAAACCAGGGGUGCCCAUUACGUCGAUCGCGAGCUACCAGUCGACCGCGGGGGGUGUGUCAGUCGAUCUCCAGCCAGGCUUUUAAAAAAAAUAAGACCUAAAAAUGAGUGAUCAUCAAUCUUCACCAAGACGUCACUUAAAUGACAUUCACGGUACCGGAGGGUCUUGUGAGAUGACGCUG
Long non-coding RNA from Nerophis ophidion (straightnose pipefish), 903 nucleotides. RefSeq lists it as uncharacterized. Lineage: Eukaryota; Metazoa; Chordata; Actinopteri; Syngnathiformes; Syngnathidae. The transcript has 3 exons. The record is from RefSeq and is a predicted model, not a curated record.